UGCUUUCUCCCCGUCGCUGUCUCUCACCGCCUCUGUCCCUAUCUCGUUUGAAGAACCGUGUAGCCUCUUCAAUCUUCUAUCUCUGCCCUGCUUUUCAUCCUUUUUAUUCUUUUCUCUCGUUCACACACCGAACCGAAGCCCACACCCUCCACCAACGUUGAUCUUCUCUUCUCCAAGUCCACUUCUUUGCCUAGUACCAGCAAAGCUGGUGUUGGCCUUCGAAACCCCAGAGAGUUUCCUCUCCCAGGCGGCCAUCAUCCACCGAAGAAGAAAUCUCCACGCGGCUUUAGUCUUUGUCGAGCUGCCCUCUCUUAGUCAACAAGCUGCCCACCCACGCGUCUUCUUCUUCAAACGCAUGAAGUAGCCGCCNN
RNAcentral lists this long non-coding RNA (371 nucleotides) under Eucalyptus grandis. RNAcentral describes it as "long non-coding RNA (EGRA_LNC006837)". The record is from RNAcentral. Lineage: Eukaryota; Viridiplantae; Streptophyta; Magnoliopsida; Myrtales; Myrtaceae.